CGAACAGAUGGCGACCGGCGCACGGGUGAGUAACACGUAUCCAACCUGCCUCAUACUCGGGGAUAGCCUUUCGAAAGAAAGAUUAAUAUCCGAUAGCAUAUAUUUCCCGCAUGGGUUUUAUAUUAAAGAAAUUCGGUAUGAGAUGGGGAUGCGUUCCAUUAGUUUGUUGGGGGGGUAACGGCCCACCAAGACUACGAUGGAUAGGGGUUCUGAGAGGAAGGUCCCCCACAUUGGAACUGAGACACGGUCCAA
This 252-nucleotide ribosomal RNA is filed under the name uncultured bacterium. RNAcentral's name for it is "partial 16S ribosomal RNA". It matches the Rfam family "Bacterial small subunit ribosomal RNA", at positions 81 to 334 of the family's 1533-position model. The record is from RNAcentral.